RNAcentral lists this unclassified non-coding RNA (242 nucleotides) under Cadophora sp. RNAcentral's name for it is "partial contains 5.8S ribosomal RNA, internal transcribed spacer 2, and large subunit ribosomal RNA". The stretch from base 1 to 52 matches the Rfam family "5.8S ribosomal RNA", at positions 103 to 154 of the family's 154-position model. RNAcentral also lists the same sequence under 2 other names. Lineage: Eukaryota; Fungi; Ascomycota; Leotiomycetes; Helotiales; Ploettnerulaceae. The record is from RNAcentral.
AACGCACAUUGCGCCCUUUGGUAUUCCGAAGGGCAUGCCUGUUCGAGCGUCAUUACAACCACUCAAGCCUUUGCUUGGUCUUGGGGCUCGCGGUCUCGCGGCCCCUAAAAUCAGUGGCGGUGCCGGUCGGCUCUACGCGUAGUAAUACUCCUCGCGACAGGGUCCGGACGGUGUCUUGCCAGCAACCCCCAUAUUAUUUUCAGGUUGACCUCGGAUCAGGUAGGGAUACCCGCUGAACUUAA